This 450-nucleotide ribosomal RNA is filed under the name uncultured bacterium. RNAcentral describes it as "partial 16S ribosomal RNA". It matches the Rfam family "Bacterial small subunit ribosomal RNA", at positions 354 to 796 of the family's 1533-position model. The record is from RNAcentral.
GUGGGGAAUCUUCCGCAAUGGACGAAAGUCUGACGGAGCGACGCCGCGUGAGUGAAGAAGGCCUUCGGGUCGUAAAGCUCUGUCAUCAGGGACGAACGGCCGGUGGAGUGGAAAGCCACCGGAUUGACGGUACCCGAGAAGGAAGCCACGGCUAACUACGUGCCAGCAGCCGCGGUAAUACGUAGGUGGCAAGCGUUGUCCGGAAUUAUUGGGCGUAAAGCGCGCGCAGGUGGGAUCUUAAGUCCAUUUUUAAAGUUCGGAGCUCAACUCCGUGAUGGGAUGGAAACUGGGAUUCUUGAGUACCGGAGAGGAAAGCGGAAUUCCCCGUGUAGCGGUGAAAUGCGUAGAUAUGGGGAGGAACACCAGUGGCGAAGGCGGCUUUCUGGACGGUGUCUGACACUGAGGCGCGAAAGCCAGGGGAGCGAACGGGAUUAGAAACCCGAGUAGUCC